ACUAAGUUUCAACAACGGAUCUCUUGGCUCUCGCAUCGAUGAAGAACGCAUCGAAAUGCGAUAAGUAAUGUGAAUUGCAGAAUUCAGUGAAUCAUCGAAUCUUUGAACGCACCUUGCGCUCCUUGGUAUUCCUUGGAGCAUGCCUGUUUGAGUAUCAUGAAAU
This 163-nucleotide ribosomal RNA is filed under the name Thanatephorus cucumeris. RNAcentral's name for it is "5.8S ribosomal RNA". It matches the Rfam family "5.8S ribosomal RNA". From Rfam's summary of the family: 5.8S ribosomal RNA (5.8S rRNA) is a component of the large subunit of the eukaryotic ribosome. It is transcribed by RNA polymerase I as part of the 45S precursor that also contains 18S and 28S rRNA. Lineage: Eukaryota; Fungi; Basidiomycota; Agaricomycetes; Cantharellales; Ceratobasidiaceae. The record is from RNAcentral. RNAcentral also lists the same sequence under 1 other name.